This is a long non-coding RNA of Oryza brachyantha (malo sina), 1017 nucleotides long. RefSeq lists it as uncharacterized. The record is from RefSeq and is a predicted model, not a curated record. The transcript has 5 exons. NCBI's taxonomy places the organism in Eukaryota, Viridiplantae, Streptophyta, Magnoliopsida, Poales, Poaceae.
UGGCUGCCGCGCCCCCAUCCCCUCCACCACCUCUGCCGGCCGCCACACCACCAUCUCCUCCACUUCCGCCGCGCCCCCAUCUCCUCACUAACCCUUUCUCCGACUUCCAUGCCCUUCACCGUAGCCACUGCCGCCAUCUCCUCCGCCCCCCGCCCAUCCCCUCCUCCGCCACACUCCGUUGCAACACACUCCCCUCUACUGCCGACAUCCCCCCUGCCCAUCAUCCAUCCGAUCUCCUUCUCAAGCUCAUGACCACGCGGGUAAACCAGGCGUCCGCGCCGAUGGCAGCUCACCUCCCCGGGGCCUCCCCCGCCCCGGAUCCCACUUGAGCAUCUUCUUCGUUGGAUCCGGCUCCGCGGCGGCGGCAGAGGCUUACCUACCAUGGUGAUGACUACAGGAUCUGUCGACUUGGAGGUUGGAGCGAUGAUUUGCAUUUUGGAAGCAUUCUGAUUAACCUGCGGAUUUCCCAAUGGUGUGCACGCUUGAGGCUUGCCUAUAUCAGAUUCAAUCUCUACUUCGACAUGCAUGGGCUGUAGGUUGUAGGGUACAUCAAAAUUUUGCAUGUAGGACCUGAAUGCGCUAAAAAAUAAAUCGGGAUUAUUGUUACCUAUUAAGGCUCGAUUACUGAUACCUGUUCAGCCGUAGUGGUUGAAGUAAUUUACUGAAGAUUGCUACAAUGCUACCAUAUUAUUGAGACGGUAGUGAUCGCGCGCUACGAGGAAGUCCUGAAGAGAAGGAUGCAAGAAAAGAAGUCCAAUAGUGAUUGUGCAUUGCAGAUAUGAAUUGCAAACUACAAAGAGGGUUGUGCACCAGAAAAAUGGAGCUAGGCUCGAGACUUCUGGCUGCUAAAGGACUUUCACUUGUUUAUGUUUGUUUUGAUCGGUAAACAUAUGAUUGUAUUUGGACACAUAUGAUUAGGUUUGGGUGUAAUUUUUGGCUAUAAGUCUGUAUUGGAUGUUCACUGGGUUGUAUUGGAUGUUAACUGGGCUAUAUUUGUAUGGGCUGCUAUUUGGUAAA